This 833-nucleotide long non-coding RNA is filed under the name Apteryx rowi (Okarito brown kiwi). Its description in RNAcentral is "lncRNA (ENSARWG00000000218.1)". The record is from RNAcentral. Lineage: Eukaryota; Metazoa; Chordata; Aves; Apterygiformes; Apterygidae.
GCGGGGGAAGAAGACGCUGCCUCCGCUUACUGCCGGUUUCUGGAGAGCGGCUUGCGCAACGUUCGGGUCACGUAGCCCUGCACGUCGCAGAUCCAGCUAGCGGUUGCUCCUGCGGAGAGCAGAGAUACGUCGUAUGGAAAGGCUUGCUUCGGAGGUGCAGCUGAUCCCACCUAAUGCUCACCUGAAUUUCUUCCGGCCUGUGGCGUGAGCGUGAGAGUCUCCAGGGAAUAAACUGGAAGCCGCAGCGGUCUGAGACAUGCUCUCCGCGAGGGCUCCGCCGCAGCAUCGGGACUCGGAGAAGCGGCUCAGGGAGCGCGGUGCCCGGCGGGGGAGGCAGCAGGAGCAGAAUUUGGAAGGACAUUCUUGCCAUAAAAUCUUCAUUCCUGAACGUAUAUGAGCCAAGAAUGUCUUGCUGCCAAUUUAGGGACAGACUGUCAGCCCUGCUGGGAGCUAUAAGUAUAGACUGGGAUGCAGAAAGCAUCUGACCUGGAUACUGCAUGCCAGCAGUUGGAUUUAUGGACCAUCUAAGACACAGGAAAACGAAUGAACACUUUAUUGACUGUUUUCCCUGAAACUAGCUUUUGUUUAAUCCCAGGAAAUAUUUUCUAUUUAAUAUUAUAACAAUAUUUAAUAUCAUAGGGACAUAGGAUAAUUCAUGUUGGAAGGCACCUCGGGAGAUCAUCUAAUCCAAUCUCCUGCUCAAAGCAGGGUCAGUUAUGAGGUCAGACCAAUAUAUCAAUUGCAGCUAUUAAUGGCAAGUCUGAUUUCACUCUGUCUGAAGAAUUCUAGGCAUAAACAUAUAUAGACCAAAUAAAAAUCCCCAUCAGAACCCA